GCACUGUAGUUGGUGAACUCGUCCAAGAGGCGAGCGAGAGGAGCCGCGUGCGUUAGUUGGAGGGGAAGCCAGUGAUGGUGUAUCGAAUUUGUGAGGCCGAGGUGCGUCGAGGGGACAAAGAGUGGAAAAAGAUACGAGAGGACGGCCGCAAUUAAAGCUGGGAUUGUGUGGCUGCCUUUCCAGGCUGCGGCGGAUCCUUAUCCCUCUACCACCCCAACUCCUUGUUUCUUUCUCCUCUCUCUCUGUCUCUCCCAGCGGUCUCUCCUUGAUCGGUGAGUACUUGUAGCAACUUUUCUUGGGAUUCUGAAGCUUUCUUGCUGGUGGGUUGCUGAGGGGGGGUGGUUUUCUGCGAGAAAGUUCGCACUCGGGGGUAAUGAGGAGAGGUUUUUGGUUGUGAUAUGUCUUGAUUGUGGAAGCAUGAACGUUCGGUCUUGGCAUUCGGUUUCUUGAUUCUAGAGUCUUCCGGGUCGUGUUUCGGGGGGAUGUAGGGGGAAUGGAGGGCUCGGAGGAGGCGUCGGGGUGGGAGAGGUCCUCCGCUUCCAGGGCCCCCAACACCGCCGACUGCGUCGCCUCGAGCGACAGCUUGGGCGCGGCGGCGGCGGCGGCCGGCUGGGGAGGCAAGUCGAUGGAAGAGGGAGAGGAGGAGGAGGAGAUGGGCCGCCCUCUGUCCUGCACCGAGGACGGGAGCUUUCGGCCGGCCGGCGCGGCGGUGGCGUCUGCGGCGGCGGAGGAGGAGGAGGAAGAGGAGCUCGGGGACGUGAGCCUGAGGGAGUGGCUGGACUGGCCGGGGCGGCCGGUGGACCUCCUCGAGAGCCUCCACGUCUUCCGGCAGAUCGUCGAGGCGGUGAGCCUCGCCCACUCGCAGGGUGUCGUCGUCGGCAACGUCCGCCCCUCCUGCUUCGUUCUAUCGUCCGUCAACCGCGUCUCCUUCAUCGAGUCCGCCUCCUGCUCCACCUCCGGCUCCGACUCCUGCGAGGACACUGGCGGCGGCUCCGAUGAAAAGCCCACAGGCCGUCGGCUCGUAGACCAAGAGAUGACUCCCGAGGAGGGCACCUCCGAAAAGGCGUCGGACACCAGCUGCCUGCGCUCGGGCUCGGCGUACCCCGAGGAGGUGGACGGCGGUGGAAGGGAGGUGGAGGUGGUGGGGGAGGAGAAAAAGGCAUUUCCUUUGAAGCAGAUACUGCUUAUGGAGUUAAAUUGGUAUACGAGCCCAGAGGAAGCCGGCGGCAGUCCAAGUACAUUCGCCUCGGAUAUCUACCGAUUGGGUGUUCUUCUGUUUGAGUUGUUCUGCACGUUCAACUCCCUGGAUGAGAAGCUCAGGACCAUGUCCAACUUGAGACAUCGUGUUCUCCCCCCUCAGCUACUGCUCAAGUGGCCAAAGGAAGCUUCUUUUUGCUUGUGGUUGUUGCACCCUAAGUCGGAAAGCAGACCGAAGAUAAGUGAGAUAUUGCAAAGUGAGUUCCUAAAUCAACCUAAAGAUAGUUUGGAAGAGCGUGAAACAGCAAUCAAGUUGAGAGAGGAGAUAGAAGAUCAGGAAUUACUCCUGGAAUUUCUUUUGCAGUUGCAGCAAAGAAAACAGGAAGCUGCUGAUAGAUUGCAUGAUACAAUCUGUUUUCUCUCUGCUGACAUAGAAGAGGUUCUAAACCAGCAGUCAAUUCUCAAACAGAAAGGAGGCUCCUAUACAGAAUCAGACAAAGAAGAGCAUUCAGCAAUAAAUAAAGAGGACUCACAGUUGCAAUAUCCUGCAAUAGAUGAGGACUCAUCCUGCUCUAGUUCCAGAAAACGCUUCAGACCAGGAAUUCAUAAUUUAAAUGAAGAGGAGCAUAAUAAUAUGCUUGAUGCAGGUCCCAUAUCAGAGAUACUCCAUCCGAUUCAGGAAAAUAUUCCAUCAAAAAGUUCUCGAUUAAUGAAGAACUUCAAAAAAUUGGUGGCAGCCUAUUUCUCAACAAGAUACAGGAUGGUGAAGCCAUCAAGCACACCCAUAAUUAAUGAAGUUACUGGUGGUGGGAGAGGAUCAGUAGUUGUCAGGAGUGAAGGAAGUUCAGUUGAUGAUAUGAUUUCUAAAGAAGGCCAUUAUGGUGGAAGAAAGAAUGGAUGGAUAAAUCCAUUUCUUGAGGGAUUAUGCAAAUUUAUGACAUUUAGCAAGUUGAAAGUUAAGGCUGAACUAAAGCAAGGAGAUGUGUUAAGCUCUUCAAAUUUAGUAUGCUCCUUGGGUUUUGAUCGGGAUAAAGAAUUUUUUGCGGCUGCCGGUGUAAAUAGGAAAAUUAAAAUCUUUGAAUGUGAUAUGAUUCUAAGUGAAGAUCGUGACAUUCAUUAUCCUGUAGUUGAAAUGGCUAGUAGGUCAAAACUAAGCUGUAUUUGCUGGAAUAAUUAUAUUAAGAACCAGAUUGCUUCAAGUGACUUUGAAGGCAGAGUGCAGGUUUGGGAUGUUACAAGAAGCCAUGUUUUUAUGGAAAUGAGGGAGCAUGAGAAGCGUGUAUGGUCUGUUGACUUUUCGCUUGCAGAUCCAACAAAGUUGGCUAGUGGAAGCGAUGAUGGUGCAGUGAAGCUGUGGAAUAUCAAUCAGGCAAUUCUAUUCUUGCACUUGGUGCUGGAAGCAUUGGUACUAUCAGAACAAAGGCAAAUGUGUGCUCUGUGCAGUUCCAACCUGAUUCUGCAUGCUUGCUAGCAAUUGGUUCAGCAGAUCAUAACGUCUACUGCUAUGAUCUUCGUAACAUGAGAAUGCCUUUUUAUACAUUAGUUGGUCACACAAAGACUGUGAGCUAUACAAAGUAUCUAGAUUCAUCAAAUAUUGCAUCUGCAUCCACUGACAGUUCGUUGAAACUUUGGGACUUUUCUUCAAGUACAUCAAGGAUACUAGACAACCCUCUUCGAACUUUCAGUGGGCAUACAAAUGUAAAGAAUUUUGUUGGCCUCUCUAUUUCUGAUGGCUAUAUUGCUACAGGUUCAGAAACUAAUGAGGUCUUUAUCUAUCACAAAGCCUUUCCUAUGCCAGUUUUGUCGUACAAAUUCGACAUGACAGACCCCAUAUCUGGCCAGGAGGUUGAUGAUGCAUCGCAGUUCAUUUCAUGUGUCUGCUGGCGUGGCCAAUCUUCCACCUUGCUUGCUGCAAAUUCUAGCGGGAAUAUCAGAAUCUUGGAGAUGGUAUGACUCCAGAAUUAGAAGUGGGUCACAUAUCUUGGGAAAUACUUUGUCGACAUGAUGAUGUUUAUCCUUGAAAAAAAGUUCAGAGAGUCCAGCUGAGGCAGUUGGUAAUUCGAAAGCAUGGAUUUGUGUUUGUGGUGAAGUUCUCGAAUCUGGUGGUUCCAUAAUGAUAGCAUAGGGAAAGCUGAUAAGCAGAUGUAACAUGUAAAGGGAAGGAAGAAAAAGAGGGAGGCGGGGGGAAUUAUGUGUAAAUCAUUGAUUGGAGGUACGCACCAUAGUUGAUUAAAUGAACCCUUUUUACUCGAGUUCUUCAGGUUUUUUAGCAUGCACAUU
Molecule: RNA transcript, 3477 nt
Organism: Phoenix dactylifera (date palm)
Lineage: Eukaryota; Viridiplantae; Streptophyta; Magnoliopsida; Arecales; Arecaceae
Gene name: protein SPA1-RELATED 4-like
Source: RefSeq, a predicted model, not a curated record